Molecule: ribosomal RNA, 468 nt
Filed under: uncultured bacterium
Lineage: Bacteria
Description: partial 16S ribosomal RNA
Rfam family: Bacterial small subunit ribosomal RNA
Source: RNAcentral
GACGAACGCUGGCGGCGUGCUUAACACAUGCCAGUCGAACGGAAAGGCCCUGCUUUUGUGGGGUGCUCGAGUGGCGAACGGGUGAGUAACACGUGAGUAACCUGCCCUUGACUCUGGGAUAACUUCAGGAAACUGGGGCUAAUACCGGAUAGGAGCUCCUGCUGCAUGGUGGGGGUUGGAAAGUUUCGGCGGUUGGGGAUGGACUCGCGGCUUAUCAGCUUGUUGGUGGGGUAGUGGCUUACCAAGGCUUUGACGGGUAGCCGGCCUGAGAGGGUGACCGGUCACAUUGGGACUGAGAUACGGCCCAGACUCCUACGGGAGGCAGCAGUGGGGAAUAUUGCACAAUGGGCGGAAGCCUGAUGCAGCAACGCCGCGUGCGGGAUGACGGCCUUCGGGUUGUAAACCGCUUUCGCCUGUGACGAAGCGUGAGUGACGGUAAUGGGUAAAGAAGCACCGGCUAACUACGUG